This is a long non-coding RNA of Papaver somniferum (opium poppy), 1797 nucleotides long. RefSeq lists it as uncharacterized. The transcript has 3 exons. NCBI's taxonomy places the organism in Eukaryota, Viridiplantae, Streptophyta, Magnoliopsida, Ranunculales, Papaveraceae. The record is from RefSeq and is a predicted model, not a curated record.
CUCGUUAUUUUCUUCCUUCUUCUGUUUCUCCUCAAACUCUCCUCUGUCGGUUUUGAUUUCGGAGAAGUGAGUUCAAAUUUAGUGUGGAUGAUUUAUCAGAUAGCUGGUAGUGUGUUGAAUAGAAUGAGUAUGUGAUGGAGUUGUAAUCGUUUGAAGCUCAGGGAGGAGAAGAAAUUGAUAUUGAUGUAAAUCGAAGUUAGGGUUUGUAUGAAAUUGAUAAGUAUAUCUAGUUGUUGAUUAAUAAAGAACAAUGGGUUUUGGUAGAUUGAUGUUCAAUGAUUUGGGGAAAAGAAGGGGUUGAUGUUGUUUGAUCGGAAUUAAGGUUUCUGAAUAUGGGUUUGAGAUUCGAUUAAAGAUGAAUUAGAAGAUGGAAUUAAAGUUCUGGAAGGAAGAUUAGAGACGGGUUUUCGAUUGAUUUGAAGUAUACUUGAAAAUUUACAGUUAGGGUUUCUUGUUAAUAUUCACGGGAUUGAUUAGAAGAAGAAGAUUCUGAGAAGAGGGAUUGUUGUGGCUGAAGUUAAGAUUAUUGCAGAAAUUGAGCAACAGUUGAGUUGCAGGGAGGAAGGUGUAUGAGUUGUUGAUUGUUGGUUUUGGUUUUGCCAGUCACAGGACAUAGAAGAAGUAUGUGAUGAAGAUUAUUAAGUUUGGUUUGGUUAAUUAGGGUUUAUGUGGUUGUGGUUGGAGAACAACAAUUCAGAGGAUGCUGGUUCUUGGGUAAGAUUCUAAUUUCGUUUAAGGUUGGAAUUUUAGUUCAAAUUGCUCAGAUUAUUGAAUUGCUGUGUUUGUAAUUGGAACUGUUUUGAGUUAUGAGUUGUUAUUGAAGAUACAAUGAAAUUGAGAUUGUUUGAGAAACUUGGUGUUGAAAAGGAUAUGGAUUGGAACUGUGAUUUGUAUUGAAUUACAGUUGGGGAUUAUAUGCUUAGGAUGUAGAAAUUGGUGUUCUGUGUGGAAUUAAAUGUAAGUUAUGAUCAUCUUGUGGUGUUAAUGGUGUUGUUAAAGAAAAGUUUAAUGAGAUUACUGUAGAAUCAGUGGUAUGGUAAUGGCAGUGGUAGUGGUGUUACAGGUGAACUGAUUUUAGAUGUUUUGAAGAUGUGCUGGUGGUGUUGAAAUGAUCAAGUCUAGAACUGUGGAUGGUGGUUGAACUGAAUUUGCAGGAACUGUAACUAAAAUAGAAGUUGCAGAUGGGGGUUGUUGUAGAGAAAUGGUAAUGAUAACUAGAGAUGGUGAACUGUCUAGGAAGAUGAAUGUUGGGUUAAACAACAGUGACAAUUGAUAAGGAGUAUGUGUUUAGAAAUGGAACUGAAUUAUUAUUGUUGUUUGAAUGGAUUGACAGAAGUGAUUCGAGUCUGAGAUGAUAUGGUUAGAUAGUGUUUUAUUGGUGGUGUUGGCUGUGUAGUUGAAUUUGCAGGUGGAACUGUAAUAUUGAGAUUUGAAGUGUUAGAACUGAAUCUAUAGUUGUGAUUUGGUUGUAUGCAGAAUCACAAAUGGAUAGUCUCUUCGAAAGCAUGUUGUUACUGCAAUUGCAGUUAGUCUAUAAUAACAACGAUCAAUUCAAAGGAUGAACCAGUGGAUCGUGGAUCUCGAGGUAGGCAUGGCUUGUCAUCAAAAGAGUUUCAGAGACAGAUCAGAGUUGCGCAGCGAAAACUUCAACGGUCGAGUUCGUUACUUGUUUAACUUCUGCUAUGCUUAUUAUGUUGCAUAUUAUAUUUGUAAACCAAACGAAUAUUGUAUAUGUAUCAUUUGAGAGAAGUUCUUGUAUAUAUAUAUAUAUUUCUGAGCGGGGCUAGUUUGGGUUAA